This 217-nucleotide long non-coding RNA is filed under the name Mytilus galloprovincialis (Mediterranean mussel). The record is from RNAcentral. Lineage: Eukaryota; Metazoa; Mollusca; Bivalvia; Mytilida; Mytilidae.
AUAAAUGACUUAGUUACAUUUUUAGCUCACCUGGCCCGAAGGGCCAAGUGAGCUUUUCCCAUCACUUGGCGUCCGUCGUCCGUAGUCGUCGUCCGUCGUCCGUCGUCGUUAACUUUUACAAAAAUCUUCUCCUCUGAAACUACUGGGCCAAAUUAAACCAAACUUGGCCACAAUCAUCAUUGGGGUAUCUAGUUUAAAAAAUGUGUGGCGUGACCCG